Molecule: ribosomal RNA, 385 nt
Filed under: uncultured bacterium
Lineage: Bacteria
Description: bacterial SSU rRNA
Rfam family: Bacterial small subunit ribosomal RNA
Source: RNAcentral
AACGAACGCUGGCGGCGCGCCUAAUACAUGCAAGUCGAGCGAGAAGACGUAGCAAUACGUUUGUAAAGCGGCGAACGGGUGAGGAAUACAUGGGUAACCUACCCUCGAGUGGGGAAUAACUAGCCGAAAGGUUAGCUAAUACCGCGUACGCUCCUUGGACUUCGGUUCAGGGAGGAAAGCGAUACCGUGGGUAUCGCGCUCUUGGAUGGGGCUCAUGUCCUAUCAGCUUGUUGGUGAGGUAACGGCUCACCAAGGCUUCGACGGGUAGCUGGUCUGAGAGGACGAUCAGCCACACUGGCACUGCGACACGGGCCAGACUCCUACGGGAGGCAGCAGUAAGGAAUAUUGCGCAAUGGGCGAAAGCCUGACGCAGCGACGCCGCGGU